Non-coding RNA from Arvicanthis niloticus (Nile rat), 2063 nucleotides. The record is from RefSeq and is a predicted model, not a curated record. NCBI's taxonomy places the organism in Eukaryota, Metazoa, Chordata, Mammalia, Rodentia, Muridae.
ACACAAAGCCCAGAUGCAGAGAAAAUGGCAGCAGGGGUCGAAGCAGCAGCUGAAGUGGCAGCGACAGAGCCCAAAAUGGAGGAAGAGAGCAGCGCGCCCUGCGUGCCGAGUGGCAACGGAGCUCCCGGCCCAAAGGGUGAAGAACGACCUACUCAGAAUGAGAAGAGGAAGGAGAAAAACAUAAAAAGAGGAAGCCAUCGCUUUGAGCCAUAUGCCAAGCCAACUAAAAGACAACGAGCCUUCAUUACAAAAUACCUUUUGAUGUGAAAUGGCAGUCACUUAAAGACCUGGUUAAAGAAAAAGUUGGUGAGGUAACAUACGUGGAGCUCUUAAUGGACGCUGAAGGAAAGUCAAGGGGAUGCGCUGUUGUUGAAUUCAAGAUGGAGGAGAGCAUGAAAAAAAGCUGCUGCAGUUCUAAACAAGCAUAGUCUGAAAGUCAAAGAAGAUCCUGAUGGUGAACAUGCAAGGAGAGCAAUGCAAAAGGCUAGAAGACUUGGAAGCACAGUAUUUGUAGCAAAUCCGGAUUAUAAAGUUGGCUGGAAGAAACUGAAGGAAGUAUUUAGUAUGGCUGGUGUGGUGGUCCGAGCAGACAUUCUGGAAGAUAAAGAUGGGAAAAGUCGUGGAAUAGGCACUGUGACUUUUGAACAGUCCAUUGAAGCUGUGCAAGCUACGUCUAUGUUUAAUGGCAGUUGCUGUUUGAUAGACCGAUACACGUCAAGAUGGAUGAGAGGGCUUUACCAAAGGGAGAUUUUUUUCCUCCUGAACGCCCACAGAAACUUCCCCAUGGACUUGGUGGUACUGGCAUGGGGUUAGGACCUGGAGGGCAGCCUACUAAUGCCAACCACCUGAACAAAGGCAUUGGAAUGGGAAACCUAGGGCCUGCAGGACUGGGGAUGGAAGGAAUAGGAUUUGGAAUAAAUAAAGUUGGAGGCAUGGAAGGACCCUUUGAUGGGGGUAUGGAAAACAUGGGGCGGUUUGGAUCUGGGAUGAACAUGGGCCGAAUAAAUGAAAUCCUAAGUAAUGCACUGAAGAGAGGAGAGAUUAUUGCAAAGCAAAGAGGAGGUGGAGCUGGAGGCAGUGUCCAUGGGAUCGAGAGGAUGGGCCCUGGCAUUGACCGCAUUAGCGGUGCUGGCAUGGAGCGCAUGGGCGCAAACUUAGGCCAUGGCAUGGAUCGAGUGGGCUCUGAGAUUGAGCGUAUGGGCCUGGACUGCAUGGGCUCUGUUGAGCGCAUGGGCUCCGGCGUCGAGCGCAUGGGCCCACUAGGCCUUGACCACUUGGCCUCCAGUAUUGAGCGCAUGGGUCAGACCAUGGAGCGCAUUGGUUCUGGUGUGGAGCGCAUGGGUGCCGGCAUGGGCUUCGGCCUGGAGCGCAUGGCCGCACCCAUUGACCGUGUGGGCCAAACCAUUGAGCGCAUGGGCUCAUGGGUCCUGCCAUUGAGCGGAUGGGCCUAAGCACGGGUCGAAUGGUGCCCACAGGCAUGGGGGCCAGCCUGGAGCGCAUGGGUCCUGUGAUGGAUCGUAUGGCCACCGGCCUGGAGCGAAUGGGCGCCAACAGCCUGGAACGUAUGGGCCCUGCCGUGGGCCCAGCAUUGGGCGCUGGUAUUGAGCGAAUGGGCCUGGCCAUGCGUGGCGCCGGAGGUGCUAGCUUUGACUGAGCCAUUGAGAUGGAGGGAGGCAACUUUGGAGGAAGCUUUGCAGGUUCCUUUGGCGGAGCUGGAGGCCAUGCACCUGGAGUAGCCAGGAAGGCCUGCCAGAUAUUUGUGAGAAAUCUCCCAUUUGAUUUUACAUGGAAGAUGCUAAAGGACAAAUUCAAUGAAUGUGGCCACUUGUUGUACGCCGACAUCAAGAUGAAGAACGAAAAGUCCAAGGGAUGCGGUGUGGUUAAGUUUGAGUAUCCAGAGGUGGCUGAGAGAGCCUGCCGGAUGAUAAACGGCAUGAAGCUGAGUGGCCGAGAGAUUGAUGUUCGAAUUGAUAGAAAUGCUUAAGCAGUUGCCUUUUUUUAAACAUCAGUACCAGACCUCUGAAUUUGUAUUUUUUCUUGUUAACCAUUUACUUUGUUGGCUG